CUCGGUUCAAAACUGAACCGAAAAUGCAAGACUUGCUUUAUUUGUUUUCCUUCAAUUUCUUUCUGUAUUAUUUACUAUAAUGGAACUCAUGUUAUUUACACUGUGCUAGAUCAAUACACAUAAACACUGACAGAAAACAAUUAAAGCAAGUCUUGCAUUUUCGGUUCAGUUUUGAACCGAG
RNAcentral lists this microRNA precursor (181 nucleotides) under Paramuricea clavata. The record is from RNAcentral. Lineage: Eukaryota; Metazoa; Cnidaria; Anthozoa; Malacalcyonacea; Plexauridae.